CCUACGGGUGGCAGCAGUGGGGGAUAUUGCACAAUGGGGGAAACUCUGAUGCAGCGACGCCGCGUGAGUGAAGAAGUAUUUCGGUAUGUAAAGCUCUAUCAGCAGGGAAGAAAAUGACAGUACCUAACGAAGAAGCCCCGGCUAACUACGUGCCAGCAGCCGCGGUAAUACGUAGGGGGCAAGCGUUAUCCGGAUUUACUGGGUGUAAAGGGAGCGUAGGCGGGUGUGUAAGUCUGGAGUUAAAUCCCGGGGCCUAACCCCGUGGCUGCGUUGGAAACUUUGUAACUGGAGUAAAGGAGGGGCAGGCGGAAUUCCUGGUGUAGCGGUGAAAUGCGUAGAUAUUAGGAGGAACACCAGCGGCGAAGGCGGCCUGCUGGACUGAAACUGACGUUGAGGCUCGAAAGCGUGGGGAGCAAACAGGAUUAGAUACCCUUGUAGUC
Molecule: ribosomal RNA, 440 nt
Filed under: uncultured bacterium
Lineage: Bacteria
Description: partial 16S ribosomal RNA
Rfam family: Bacterial small subunit ribosomal RNA
Source: RNAcentral